AACACGCAGACUCCUGGACCAUUUGGUAAUCAUUGCCUUGGACAAGAAAGCGUACAUAAGAUGAGAAGAUUUACAUGACUGCUGGAUAUUUGUCAAUGAUGUGGAGAAGGAUAGAAUUUCUGCGUGUUAUUCUCGAAAUGGGAUACAACUUUAUUUUCUCGUUUACAAAUCUCAAGUACUCCAGAGUUGAAAUUGAUGAAGUAC
This is a long non-coding RNA of Zingiber officinale, 204 nucleotides long. RefSeq lists it as uncharacterized. NCBI's taxonomy places the organism in Eukaryota, Viridiplantae, Streptophyta, Magnoliopsida, Zingiberales, Zingiberaceae. The transcript is spliced from 3 exons. The record is from RefSeq and is a predicted model, not a curated record.